CACCAGCGCCACGAGUGGGGACCAGUAUUAUUGGGCCUAAAGCGUCCGUAGCCGGAAUGGUAAAUCCUUUGUGAAAUUGUCGGGCUUAACCUGACAGCGUGCAGAGGACACUGCCAAUCUUGAGACCGGGAGGAGUCAGAAGUAUUUACGGGGUAGCGGUAAAAUGCAAUAAUCCCGUGAAGACUACCUGUGGCGGAGGCGUCUGACUAGAACGGGUCUGACGGUGAGGGACGAAAGCUGGGGGA
RNAcentral lists this ribosomal RNA (245 nucleotides) under uncultured archaeon. Its description in RNAcentral is "partial 16S ribosomal RNA". It matches the Rfam family "Archaeal small subunit ribosomal RNA", at positions 474 to 718 of the family's 1478-position model. The record is from RNAcentral.